This 485-nucleotide ribosomal RNA is filed under the name uncultured bacterium. RNAcentral's name for it is "partial 16S ribosomal RNA". It matches the Rfam family "Bacterial small subunit ribosomal RNA", at positions 30 to 507 of the family's 1533-position model. The record is from RNAcentral.
AUUGAACGCUGGCGGCAUGCCUUACACAUGCAAGUCGAACGGCAGCACGGGUGCUUGCACCUGGUGGCGAGUGGCGAACGGGUGAGUAAUACAUCGGAACAUGUCCUGUAGUGGGGGAUAGCCCGGCGAAAGCCGGAUUAAUACCGCAUACGAUCUACGGAUGAAAGGGGGGGACGUUGGGGGUUCGCGCUAUAGGGUUGGCCGAUGGCUGAUUAGCUAGUUGGUGGGGUAAAGGCAUACCAAGGCGAAGUUCAGUAGAUGGUCUGAGAGGACGACAGCCACACUGGGACUGAGACACGGCCCAGACUCCUACGGGAGGCAGCAGUGGGGAAUUUUGGACAAUGGGCGAAAGCCUGAUCCAGCAAUGCCGCGUGUGUGAAGAAGGCCUUCGGGUUGUAAAGCACUUUUGUCCGGAAAGAAAUCCUUGGCUCUAAUACAGUCGGGGGAUGACGGUACCGGAAGAAUAAGCACCGGCUAACUACGUG